This 488-nucleotide ribosomal RNA is filed under the name Glyphidrilus chiangraiensis. RNAcentral describes it as "partial small subunit ribosomal RNA". It matches the Rfam family "Bacterial large subunit ribosomal RNA", at positions 1817 to 2597 of the family's 2925-position model. Lineage: Eukaryota; Metazoa; Annelida; Clitellata; Crassiclitellata; Almidae. The record is from RNAcentral.
UGCCUCUUGUAACCCCAUAAGAGGUAACUCCUGCCCAGUGAAUAAAAAUUUCAACGGCCGCGGUAUCCUAACCGUGCAAAGGUAGCAUAAUCACUUGUCUAUUAAUUGUAGACUAGAAUGAAAGGAUAAACGAAAUAAGAGCUGUCUCUGCUAGUUUUUUUAUAAAUUAUAUUUUAGAUGAAGAUAUCUAAGUUUAAGUGAAGGACAAGAAGACCCUAUAGAGCUUUUAUCUAAAGAAGAAAUAAAUCUCUUUUUAAGGAUUCGGUUGGGGCGACCAAGGGUACAACUAUCACCCUUUUCACAAAGAUGUAUAUAUCUCUCGUAUGACCCUUAUUAAAGAUCAUAAAAAUAAGCUACCUUAGGGAUAACAGGCUAAUCCCAUUAAAGAGUCCUUAUCUAUAAUGGGGGUUGGCACCUCGAUGUUGGCUUAGGGUAUCUCUAUGGCGCAAUAGUCAUAAAAAGGCGGUUUGUUCAACCCUUAAUUCCCU